This 495-nucleotide ribosomal RNA is filed under the name uncultured bacterium. Its description in RNAcentral is "partial 16S ribosomal RNA". It matches the Rfam family "Bacterial small subunit ribosomal RNA", at positions 28 to 507 of the family's 1533-position model. The record is from RNAcentral.
GACGAACGCUGGCGGCGUGCCUAAUACAUGCGAGUAGAACGCUGAAGGAGGAGCUUGCUUCUCCGGAUGAGUUGCGAACGGGUGAGUAACGCGUAGGUAACCUGCCUGGUAGCGGGGGAUAACUAUUGGAAACGAUAGCUAAUACCGCAUAACAGUAGAUAUUGCAUGAUAUCUGCUUGAAAGGUGCAAUUGCAUCACUACCAGAUGGACCUGCGUUGUAUUAGCUAGUUGGUGAGGUAACGGCUCACCAAGGCGACGAUACAUAGCCGACCUGAGAGGGGGAACGGCCCACCUGGGACCGGGAACACGCCCAGACUCCUACGGGGGGCAGCAGUAGGGAAUCUUCGGGAAUGGACGGAAGUCUGGACGAGCAACGCCGGGUGAGUGAAGAAGGUUUUCGGAUCGUAAAGCUCUGUUGUAAGAGAAGAACGAGUGUGGGAGUGGAAAGUUCACACUGUGACGGUAUCUUACCAGAAAGGGACGGCUAACUUCGUG